CAAAUAAAAUAAAAUUAAAAAUAGGAAACUUUGUUCAACUUCUCCAAAUCGGCCAUUUUCGAGUUACAAAGUAAACCGCUUCAACUUUGACUUCGACGAUCUAGGGUUCUUUUCAUCCUUAGAUUACAUUGGAAAAACAAUUUUGAAUCUUGGAGUCAUCGAAUCCAAAACCCACUUUCUUAUUUUCGCUGAUUUUAACGUAAGUUCUUCUCGUUUUUGCUACAUAAAUGUCGUGUAGAUGCAUUUAAUUUCUGAAUUGUAAAUAGCAUUUGUGGUUAUGGAUAGCAAUUAUUCGUCUGUUUCCAAGGAAUCUUUUGUUGAAUUACAAGUUAAAGAUGAUAACUUUAGGGAUAAUGAAUAUUUGAAACCAAAUUCUGGUGAUGAUUUUGAAGCCGAUGAUAUAGAUUUGGAUGAUUUACCUCUUAUUUUUGGUGAAAAUAAAUCUGGGUCUGGAGAACAUGGGGCAGUCUUUAAUCUUACGACUACUAUUAUUGGUGCGGGGAUUAUGGCUUUGCCUGCUACAAUGAAAGUAUUGGGGUUGGUUGUUGGGGUUAUUUUGAUAUUCUUGAUGGGUGUUUUGUCUGAGAUUAGUGUUGAAUUGCUUGUUCGGUUUUCGGUUCAAUGCAAGGCUUUGUCGUAUGGGGAAGUUGUUGAGGCUGCAUUGGGUAAAACAGCGAAGAUCCUGUCUGAGAUUUGUAUUAUUGUGAAUAAUGCUGGUGUUUUGGUUGUAUACUUGAUUAUAAUUGGGGAUGUUUUGUCGGGUUCGAUUCGACAUACUGGGGUUUUUGAUCAAUGGUUAGGUCAUGGAGUGUGGGAUCAUAGGAAGUUGGUGGUUUUGAUCAUAUUGGUGAUUUUUCUUGCACCCCUUUGUGCAAUGGACAAGAUCGAUUCUUUAAGUUUGUCUUCAGCUGCUUCUGUAGCUCUUGCUAUUGUGUUUGUUGUAGUUGCUUUCACGAUAGCAUUUAUUAAGCUUGUCGAGGGGAAAAUUGAAGCUCCAAGGAUGACACCAGAUUUCGGGUCUAAGCAGGCAAUCCUAGACCUGCUUGUGGUGAUUCCCAUAAUGUCCAAUGCGUAUGUUUGCCAUUUCAAUGUUCAGCCCAUUUAUAAUGAGCUUGAAGGCCGAUCACCUCAGAAGAUGAACCGUGUGAGCCGAAUUACCUCUGCUAUUUGUGUGUUGGUGUAUGCUUCUACGGCAGUAGCUGGCUAUUUACUUUUUGGAAAGGAUACUGAAUCUGAUAUACUCACAAAUUUUGACAAGGACCUUGGAAUUCGUUUCAGCACAGCAUUGAAUUACAUUGUUCGUGUUGGCUAUGUUUUCCAUCUGGUUCUUGUUUUCCCUGUUAUCCAUUUCUCCCUGAGGCAGACUGUGGAUGCUUUGUUGUUUGAAGGAUCUGCACCACUCACAGAAAGUAGGAAGAGGUGUCUGGCUUUGACUGCCGUUCUCCUGGCACUCUUAUAUUUUGGGUCGACUAUGAUUCCUAACAUUUGGACUGCUUUCAAAUUUACAGGGGCCACAACUGCAGUUUCUUUAGGCUAUACAUUUCCAUCUCUUAUUGCUCUAAGGCUGGGCAAACAAGGAAGCGGUUUGAGUAUGAGAGAGAAGAUUUUGUCUUGGUUCAUGUUGAUAUUGGCCAUUGUAGUUAGCAUUGUUGGAGUGGGUGGCAAUAUUUAUAGUAUGAGUAGUGAGAGUGAUUGAGGUUCGUUCUUUUUCAUACAGUGGAAAGGCCUGUUGCAUUACCGAUCCAAGUGAGGAUAAGCUACUCCAAGUCAAACUGUCAGGUUCUAAAUGGAAAGUCUUGUGAUAUAGUUCCACUCAAAAGUCAUUCAAGCUUUACCAGUCCAUGUAGAAUAGCAAGAGAUUGUCAUAGCUGUUGCAGAUUGAUAGAAUGGUGAUCCCGGAUUCAUAGAAAAAUGUUAGUUAUUGAGAGUUAUGUGGAUUGCGGCAGCUGGGAAUUAGAAUGCUGCAAGCUUUGAAUUUUUUACCGUCAGAGGAUAGAUUGGAUUACAACAACAUAUCCAAGGUUAUUUCACAAGUGAGGUCUGGGAAAAGGAGAAUAGAUUGGAUUAAGUGGGAAAAAUGGGUAUUUUCCUGAAUGAUAAACCAUAGCUAUGUCUGUUAAUCACAUUCUUUGCGAUCUAAUGUAAUAUCUUGUAUAAUUGGAGAUAUGGUUGAUCAGAGAGAUUGAAAU
This is an RNA transcript of Solanum tuberosum (potato), 2189 nucleotides long. It is a transcript of the gene named probable sodium-coupled neutral amino acid transporter 6, with no coding region annotated. The transcript has 2 exons. NCBI's taxonomy places the organism in Eukaryota, Viridiplantae, Streptophyta, Magnoliopsida, Solanales, Solanaceae. The record is from RefSeq and is a predicted model, not a curated record.